Long non-coding RNA from Erpetoichthys calabaricus (reedfish), 327 nucleotides. RefSeq lists it as uncharacterized. The transcript is spliced from 3 exons. NCBI's taxonomy places the organism in Eukaryota, Metazoa, Chordata, Cladistia, Polypteriformes, Polypteridae. The record is from RefSeq and is a predicted model, not a curated record.
CGCUUUGAGGCUGAUUGGCGGACUGAGACGCUAACGCUGCGUAUGCUGUCAGUACGUGAAUGCCGUAGCUUCAACAUGGAGGUGUAGUAGCAGCAGUAUUUUCUGCUCGGAAUAUAUCUGAGCGAGAAAGCACAAUGGCAGAAAAAAAGACAAAAUCCUCAAGUACAAAAAGACCACUUAGCAAAAAGGAGCAGGAUGAGAUAAAGAAAAAGGAAGAGGAAGAAAAGGCAGCUGAAGUUUUUGAAGAGUUUGUAGCAUCCUUUGACGUUAAUGAGACAAACUCUGUGAAAACCUUUGUACGAGGUGGAAUUGUUAAUGCAACUAAAG